This 1081-nucleotide ribosomal RNA is filed under the name uncultured bacterium. Its description in RNAcentral is "bacterial SSU rRNA". It matches the Rfam family "Bacterial small subunit ribosomal RNA", at positions 53 to 1134 of the family's 1533-position model. The record is from RNAcentral.
ACAUGCAAGUCGAACGGUAACAGAACUAGCUUGCUAGUUGCUGACGAGUGGCGGACGGGUGAGUAAUGCUUAGGGAUCUGCCUUUAGGAGGGGGAUAACCAUUGGAAACGAUGGCUAAUACCGCAUAAUGUCUACGGACCAAAGGGGGCUUUCGGGCUCUCACCUAGAGAGGAACCUAAGUGAGAUUAGCUAGUUGGUGAGGUAAAGGCUCACCAAGGCGACGAUCUCUAGCUGUUCUGAGAGGAAGAUCAGCCACACUGGAACUGAGACACGGUCCAGACUCCUACGGGAGGCAGCAGUGGGGAAUAUUGCACAAUGGGGGAAACCCUGAUGCAGCCAUGCCGCGUGUGUGAAGAAGGCCUUCGGGUUGUAAAGCACUUUCAGUUGUGAGGAAAGGUUAGUAGUUAAUACCUGCUAGCUGUGACGUUAGCAACAGAAGAAGCACCGGCUAACUCCGUGCCAGCAGCCGCGGUAAUACGGAGGGUGCAAGCGUUAAUCGGAAUUACUGGGCGUAAAGCGCACGCAGGCGGUUUGUUAAGCUAGAUGUGAAAGCCCCGGGCUCAACCUGGGAUGGUCAUUUAGAACUGGCAGACUAGAGUUCUGGAGAGGGGAGUGGAAUUCCAGGUGUAGCGGUGAAAUGCGUAGAUAUCUGGAGGAACAUCAGUGGCGAAGGCGACUCUCUGGCCAAAGACUGACGCUCAUGUGCGAAAGUGUGGGUAGCGAACAGGAUUAGAUACCCUGGUAGUCCACACUGUAAACGCUGUCUACUAGCUGUUUGUGAAUUUAAUUCGUGAGUAGCGAAGCUAACGCGCUAAGUAGACCGCCUGGGGAGUACGGCCGCAAGAUUAAAACUCAAAUGAAUUGACGGGGGCCCGCACAAGCGGUGGAGCAUGUGGUUUAAUUCGAUGCAACGCGAAGAACCUUUACCUACUCUUGACAUCCAGAGAAGCCAGCGGAGACGCAGUGUGCCUUUCGGGAGCUCUGAGACAAGGUGCUGCAUGGCUGUCGUCAGCUCGUGUGUGAAAUGUGGCUAGUCCCGCACGAGCGCACCUAUCCUUGUUUGCCAGCGAGUAAUUGUCGG